UAAUCGAUGGGGGGACGCAGUAGGAUAGGCGAAGCGUGCGAUUGGAUUGCACGUCUAAGCAGUAAGGCUGAGUAUUAGGCAAAUCCGGUACUCGUUAAGGCUGAGCUGUGAUGGGGAGAAGACAUUGAGUCUUCGAGUCGUUGAUUUCACACUGCCGAGAAAAACCUCUAGAUAGAAAAUAGGUGCCCGUACCGCAAACCGACACAGGUAGUCAAGAUGAGAAUUCUAAGGUGAGCGAGCGAACUCUCGUUAAGGAACUCGGCAAAAUGACCCCGUAACUUCGGGAGAAGGGGUGCUCUUUAGGGUUGACGCCCAGAAGAGCCGCAGUGAAUAGGCCCAAGCGACUGUUUAUCAAAAACACAGGUCUCUGCUAAACCGUAAGGUGAUGUAUAGGGGCUGACGCCUGCCCGGUGCUGGAAGGUUAAGAGGAGUGGU
RNAcentral lists this ribosomal RNA (435 nucleotides) under Staphylococcus aureus. RNAcentral describes it as "partial 23S ribosomal RNA". It matches the Rfam family "Bacterial large subunit ribosomal RNA", at positions 1458 to 1890 of the family's 2925-position model. Lineage: Bacteria; Bacillati; Bacillota; Bacilli; Caryophanales; Staphylococcaceae. The record is from RNAcentral.